Molecule: ribosomal RNA, 619 nt
Filed under: uncultured bacterium
Lineage: Bacteria
Description: bacterial SSU rRNA
Rfam family: Bacterial small subunit ribosomal RNA
Source: RNAcentral
CCUACGGGAGGCAGCAGUGGGGAAUUUUGGACAAUGGGCGAAAGCCUGAUCCAGCAAUGCCGCGUGAGUGAAGAAGGCCUUCGGGUUGUAAAGCUCUUUUGUCAGGGAAGAAACGGUGAGGGCUAAUAUCCCUUGCUAAUGACGGUACCUGAAGAAUAAGCACCGGCUAACUACGUGCCAGCAGCCGCGGUAAUACGUAGGGUGCAAGCGUUAAUCGGAAUUACUGGGCGUAAAGCGUGCGCAGGCGGUUUUGUAAGUCUGUCGUGAAAUCCCCGGGCUCAACCUGGGAAUUGCGAUGGAGACUGCAAGGCUAGAAUCUGGCAGAGGGGGGUAGAAUUCCACGUGUAGCAGUGAAAUGCGUAGAGAUGUGGAGGAACACCGAUGGCGAAGGCAGCCCCCUGGGUCAAGAUUGACGCUCAUGCACGAAAGCGUGGGGAGCAAACAGGAUUAGAUACCCUGGUAGUCCACGCCCUAAACGAUGUCUACUAGUUGUCGGGUUUUAAUUAACUUGGUAACGCAGCUAACGCGUGAAGUAGACCGCCUGGGGAGUACGGUCGCAAGNUUAAAACUCAAAGAUAGUCGGCGNGNGAGAGCGACGACGACGACGACGGAGGAGGAG